CUCCGGGCCAUGUGAUCACACAGGAGCUCCUGAUAAGAGUGGGGGCGCACCAGGAAUGGGAUCGAGUGGAACCCAGAGUCUGGACUGGAGUGGUACAGCAGGGCAGGCAGCAGCGUGAGCUCUGUCCCUGAUGAAGGGCUUUGCCCGAAACGUGGACUUUUCCUCCUCUUCAGAUGCGUGACCCCAGUGGAGACCUCCAGGCCACAGUGAGGCGCUGCAAUGGGAGGACUCAGUGUGGAGUACUCCCACUGACAACAUACAAACUCCACACAGACCAUCGCCUGAGGCUGCAAUCAAACCUGGGACCCUGGCACUGUGAGGCUGCAAUGCUAACCACUGAGCCACCGUGUCACCUCAUGGGCAGAGCCAACAGGGCCAGCCUAGGCAGCCUUGUUUCGAGACAAAAAACUGCAGAUGCUGGAAUCCAAAGUAGACAGGCAGGAGGCUGGAAGAACACAGCAGGCCAGGCAGCAUCAGGAGAUUUCCAGCAUCUGUGGUUCUUUGCUUCAAAUAGGAAGGAUACAUCACCUGACCACCCCACAAUGCGCUGGAAGAGCUUUCUAUACUGGGAUGAAACUGCCUUCAAUUGUAAAACUUCACCUGGAUGGUUAAUGUUCUUUUGGGAUGGGCAUCUGUCAUCUUACCUGAUCUGACCUACAUGCAGCUCCACAAAACCAUAAGUGGGAACAGAAGCAGGCCAUUCGGCCCCUCGAGCCAGCUCCACUACUCGACAGGAUCAUGGCUGAUCCACAUUACUGACAUCCACCUUCUGGCCCUCUCCCCGUUACCCUUAAUCCCCUGUCUGAGCAAGAAUGUCCCUACCUCAGCCUUAAAUAUACACAAGGGUUCUGACCCCACAGCUCUCUGUAAAAGGAGUUCCAAAGACUCACAACUCUCUGAGAGAAGAGUUUCCUCCCCAUCUCAGUCUUAAAUUGAUGCCCCUUUAUUCUGAGACUGUGCCCUCUGGUCUUGACUCAGCCAUGAGGGGAAACACCCUCUCAGCACUUCCCCUCUCAAACCCCUUCAGAAUCGUAUGUGUUUCAAAGAGAUCAUUAAUGUCCUUCAGGGAAGGAAGUCUGCCAUACUUCUCUGGUCUGACCUCCAUGUGACUCCAGACCCACAGCAAUGGGAUUGACCCUUAACUGUCCUUCAAUCAGGCAAUUAGAGAUAAGCCUCACCACUGAUAUGCGAUGAAAGAGUGAAUGGUUUCUGUUGUUUUGCACAUUCAGUCAUCAAGAAGGUGGUGGGGAUCUGGAACUCACUGCCUGUAAGGGUGGUAGAGCCUUAAACCCCAUAACUUCUGGCAUAUGUCACUUGCAAUACCAGGCCAUACAAGGCCAUGCACUGAGAGCUGGAAAGUGGGAUCAGAAUAGUUAAGUUCUUGUUUUUGUUGGCGCAGACUCGAUGGGCCGACGGGCUUUUUUUCAUGUCCAUUUGUCCAUCCGGACUGUAAUGUGGCUCUAAGUGGAUACACCCUUAUCAGAUCUGCAUUCCUCCAAUACCAGCCUCUGGCUCAUCCUUGAUUUUUCUCAUUUUGCCACUGGCAGUCAUGUCUUCAGCUGCCUGGACUCCUGAACGUUGGAGCUCCUUCCCUGAUCCUCUCAGGGGAAGAACCUCCUCAAAGCAAGUCACUUUGACCAAGGGUGGCACAUCAGCCACUGGGUGGCACAGUGACAGAGUGGUUAGCACUGCUGCCUCACAGUGCCAGGGACCUGGUUUCGAUUCCACCCUUGGAUGACUGUGCGUGAGGAGUUUGCACAUUGUAGGAUAAAAGGCUGCACAACAUCGAGGGCCGAAGGGCCUGUGCUUUACUAUUCUAUGUGUAAUUGUCCCUGUGUCUGUAGGGUUUUCUCCCAUAGUUCAGUGAUGUGCGGGUAGGUGGAUUUACCAUGGGAAAUGCAGGGCUAUGGAACUGGGGCUGGGUGAGACACUUGUUGGAGGGUCAGUGUAGACUUGAUGGGCCGAACAGCCUGUUUCCACAUUGUUACAGAUUCUAACCUCAUGGUUCCUGUAGCAAUGUCUUAUGUGGCUCAGCACUGAGUUAUGCUUGUUGACUCACUUGCAUAUGUUUUGGGAUGCUUUUCUGUAUUGGGGUGGCUAUAUAACUGUAAAUUUCUGUUGAAACACAUGACAGAAUUAUCUCGGAAGGGACCCUGAUAAAUUCAUUCUAGUUUAGCCUCGCCCCUACUGAACUCAUUAUCGGCCACCGAAAAGUGGGUUGAGUUGGUCACAUAUUAGACCAGUAAGUACGAAUAUCCAUUGAUAAUUGGACUAGCAUAAAAAAUGAAUGAAGCAUUUUGGAGGUUUAAAUGUGAAGUACUUCAAACAGGAUAUUUCAUGGAGACUCAGGGUUGUGGAGCAGUAAUGGCAGUUGUUAUUUAAUCAAUUGAUUAUUCAAUAAAAUUACUAAAGUGCCAUUUAUUUUCAGUCAUGGUGUAGCUAAGUUGAUGGAGAAUAUAAAAGAGUGAGGACUGAUUUGCUUAAUGUGGUUUGAGCUGUAUCUUUUAAAGCUGAGAUGCACAAGAAUUAAAAAUCAUGGACAAA
This is a long non-coding RNA of Hemiscyllium ocellatum (epaulette shark), 2544 nucleotides long. RefSeq lists it as uncharacterized. The record is from RefSeq and is a predicted model, not a curated record. Lineage: Eukaryota; Metazoa; Chordata; Chondrichthyes; Orectolobiformes; Hemiscylliidae. The transcript is spliced from 3 exons.